AUGAGGGCGCUCCAGGGGCCCACAUCGGGCAGGAGAAGAGGAGCACCCCGCUCACACAGGACUCUUUCCGGACUUCCCCAAGGGCUCAGGUCUCCAGGGGUGAAGACAGAUGGUUCAGACUCUGGAACAGUCCAUUUCCUUCCUGCUCAUAAGGCUAGACCAAGCAGUCCUCUGGGAAUGAUGCUCCGUGGAUGUUCUCAGCUGAGUUAAAGAUCAUGGUUGAUGUUGGACAGCUAAAACGAUGGAUAAGCGAGGCUACUGGCUCUCAUUCCCAUGCUUACAGAAGCAGACUUGGAGGCACAGAGAGGAUGGGGAAACUGAGGCUCUGCAAAGACAAGCACCUUGUGAUGAUUAUUUUGCUGGCAGAAUGGAGGUUGAGACAAAUCUAAACCUGAACCAGAGCCUGCACUUGGUCUGCCUCACCAUGAAACAAGAGAGAAGGUUCUGAAGUUGCAGGAAUGACUUCAGAACCUUGGAGAGCAAGGCGGAGCCUGGCUGGGCAGUAGAGCCUUUUCUGGGACAGCUCAGCCCAGACCUGUUUGGCUAUGAUCAGCAGCUAGCCAGAGGUUCCCAUGGGCAAAGAGCAAUCCUGCGUUCCGUGACUUCCCUUGGCUUUGCCUGCAGCCACCCAGACUCCCGGCACUGAAAUAGCCACCCACUGCCUCUCGAUGUAGAAACAGAGGUAGGCAGGGGCUAGUGGAGUCAAUAGGACUUAGGAAACUUCAAGGCCGUCCAACCAGGUGGCCCUGGAUUGAGUCCCAGAGCCUCCUCUGGCUGAUCCGCUGAAGGGUCACAUGACUAGGUAAGGCACCUUGCUAAACUCUCGUGUUCAUAUUUGUCAAAAAGGGAUCAACCAUGUUUAUUACUGUUUUAGUAGAACCAGAUUUGUAUUAUCAUCUGUCCUGUUAAAGUUUGGAUAUUGA
Long non-coding RNA from Dipodomys spectabilis (banner-tailed kangaroo rat), 923 nucleotides. RefSeq lists it as uncharacterized. The record is from RefSeq and is a predicted model, not a curated record. The transcript has 4 exons. Lineage: Eukaryota; Metazoa; Chordata; Mammalia; Rodentia; Heteromyidae.